UAGGGAAUCUUCCACAAUGGACGCAAGUCUGAUGGAGCAACGCCGCGUGAGUGAAGAAGGUCUUCGGAUCGUAAAACUCUGUUGUUAGAGAAGAACACGAGCGAGAGUAACUGUUCAUUCGAUGACGGUAUCUAACCAGCAAGUCACGGCUAACUACGUGCUAG
Molecule: ribosomal RNA, 164 nt
Filed under: uncultured bacterium
Lineage: Bacteria
Description: partial 16S rRNA
Rfam family: Bacterial small subunit ribosomal RNA
Source: RNAcentral